Long non-coding RNA from Thunnus maccoyii (southern bluefin tuna), 302 nucleotides. RefSeq lists it as uncharacterized. The record is from RefSeq and is a predicted model, not a curated record. The transcript has 3 exons. NCBI's taxonomy places the organism in Eukaryota, Metazoa, Chordata, Actinopteri, Scombriformes, Scombridae.
GCAGACUCUCUCUCUCUGGCUGUGACAUCAACCUCCAGCGACCACACUGGAGGAGGAGCUCAGGAACAAACAAAAAGCAUGGAUAUAGUCUACUAUCUACUAAUCGCCUCAGUCAGAAGUCAACUGGAUGAGAUGGACUGGAGCUUUGACCUCUAUAAAUCUCCUAUCCCAAUGAGCUUCAAAUCCAGAUUACCUCAUGUCAGCAAAGCAGCCCCCGAAGAUCUGGGGGAAAGGUUGACUCUUGAUACGGUUGAUCAAAAGGAGUCACUUACAACCACUUGCUUCUCUCCAAGUAACUAAAC